UGUGGUGUUACAUGAGGGAUUUGAUUGCAUCAUAUGAUUGAGAUAAUUGGAGGAAGAAUUCCUGUCUCAUGGGAUUAUUUUCCCUAAAAAUUAGUUGGCAGGUUUGAUGUCUCCUUAUUAGCGAGAUCGGUACACUAGUCAAUUAGAGUUAAUUUAGAACUAUUCGGAGCAACACCGAGCACCCGAUGCAUGAAAGAGCAAAAAAGAACCAAAAUGCACUUAGUAGCCAAGCCUUCUGUUGCUGGGUACCGCCUAGGAAAAAAUGAAGGACAAGGCACCUCAGCUUGAGUUGAAGGCACUUCAAGAUCAUUUGAAUAUGCUUACCUUGGAAAUCUGGGGGACUUACCUGUAAUCAUCUCCAAAGAAUUGACUAUAGAACAGAAAGACAAGUUGGUGCAAGUUGUUCAAGAGCAUAAGAUAGGCAUAGGUGGACCCUUACAAUCUUGUAGUUUACAUGCACAUGAUUGAACUUGAAGAGGGAACCAAACCAUGGAGGUAGCUUUUCAGGUGUCUUAAACUCGAUUUAAAAGAUGUAAUGAUGAAGGAGAUCUUCAAGCUACUUGAAGUAGGGAUUAUCCGCCCUAUUGCAAAUGGUGAAUAGGUAUGUCAAAAUCAUGUGUGUCCAAGAAAAUAGGUAUUGUUGAUAUUAAAAAUGACGACGGUGUAUUGGUAAUUGUUAAAAAUUAGAAUG
Benincasa hispida (wax gourd) is the source of this 691-nucleotide long non-coding RNA. RefSeq lists it as uncharacterized. Lineage: Eukaryota; Viridiplantae; Streptophyta; Magnoliopsida; Cucurbitales; Cucurbitaceae. The record is from RefSeq and is a predicted model, not a curated record.